UUUCUGCUUCGGGUCCUUUCUGCACAGUGGGCAGUUUAUAACCUCAGCCAGCUCUGCAGAGGGCAGAAUGCCAUGGUCCAAAUGUUUGUGUCCCUCACAAAAUUCCUAUGUUGAAAUUCUCGCCUCCAAGCUAAUGGUUCUAGGAGGUGGAGCCUCUGGGAGGUGAUCAGUCAUGAAGGUGGAGCCUCGUGGAUGGGGUCAGUGCCCUUAGAAAAGAGGCCCAAGGGAGCCCCUUUGUCCCUCCCACCGUGUAACACACAGCAAGGUGCCUGCGUCUAUGUGGGAAGGACCCUUGGCAGACACCAAUCUGCCUUUAUCUUGGAUGUCCAGCCUCAGAACUGUGUGAAAUAAGUUUCUCUUGCUUGUAAACCACCUGGUCUAUGGUAGCUGGUUACAGCAACCUGAACAGGCUGAGACCCACAGAUUUACAGCCUCCUCUUCCAGAGUCUGACUCCCUCCCCCUGGUUUUGUCUUUCCUGAAGCCUUCUGCGCCCCGUCCACACUUGCUUCCCCACCCCCCUUUCUCUGCCUUCAGUAGUUGUUUAUAAUUCAGUUUGAGACAGUAAUUUAGAAAUGACCUUCUCAAGACCUAGUUGGCAUGGGAUAAAUUAUUUUUCCCUAGGGCAUUUUAUUAUUAUUUUUGUUUUGUAUUAUCCUCUUAUAAUUCAUUCACAAAAGCCUGACCUCUCAACAACUUUGUAAACUUCUCAUUGACUCCAGGCUACUGACGACUCUUGCUUACCAAAUGCAGGCGAAGCUGUUCAGAAGUACAGCGCAUCGCUGGAAGAUAAGGAAUGGAUCUUCUGUUGGCAGCAUGGAACUGGACCUGGAUGACAUCAACAUUUGCCAAUAAAUGUGAGUUGAAGCUUUUGUUAAAAAAUGGAAUAUGGAGAGUUGAACCUUCAUUCAAUAAUGAUGACAGCAUAAUGAAGUAGACACUGUUAUUUGUCCUGUUGUUCAGAUACAGAGACUGAGACACGGGAGAAUGAAAUGGGGUACUAAUGUCGUCCUAGCUACUGUGUAGGAUGACACAUGGGGUUGGGCUUGGUA
Molecule: long non-coding RNA, 1050 nt
Filed under: Homo sapiens (human)
Lineage: Eukaryota; Metazoa; Chordata; Mammalia; Primates; Hominidae
Description: HSALNT0197383
Source: RNAcentral